Molecule: long non-coding RNA, 279 nt
Filed under: Lathyrus oleraceus (garden pea)
Lineage: Eukaryota; Viridiplantae; Streptophyta; Magnoliopsida; Fabales; Fabaceae
Description: Pisum sativum (pea) long non-coding RNA (PSAT_LNC030623)
Source: RNAcentral
UAUCGCUUUCCUCACUAGUCCAUUAACUUAUAAAAUAAUCAAAAGCGAGUUAAAAAGAACCUUUUCCAAAAGAACAAAAAUAAACUUGAUCCAACGUCAAGUAUUUUUUCCAAAUCAAAUUGAAUGCAACGCGAGUACUCGAUCCAACGUCAAGUACCGCUUUUAUUUAAUUCACACAUUUUGUUCUAUUCAACCUCAAACACUUGAUCCAACGUCAAGUAAUUUUCUAAACAUUUUACUAUAAACCGGAUGAAAAAGAAUGGGUUGUACGUACUUGUG